This 24-nucleotide non-coding RNA is filed under the name Arabidopsis thaliana (thale cress). The record is from RNAcentral. Lineage: Eukaryota; Viridiplantae; Streptophyta; Magnoliopsida; Brassicales; Brassicaceae.
AUGUGUUAUGGAUUGUCGUCAUGC